This 352-nucleotide ribosomal RNA is filed under the name Apotolamprus quadrimaculatus. RNAcentral's name for it is "partial 16S ribosomal RNA". Lineage: Eukaryota; Metazoa; Arthropoda; Insecta; Coleoptera; Scarabaeidae. The record is from RNAcentral.
ACCUGCCCUAUGAUUAGUUUUAAAUGGCUGCAGUAAUUUGACUGUACAAAGGUAGCAUAAUCAUUAGUUUUUUAAUUGGGAACUGGUAUGAAAGGUCGAACGAGAAAAAAACUGUCUCAAUUUAAUUUUAAUUAGAAUUUUAUUUUUAAGUUAAAAAGCUUAAAUAAUUUUAAAAGACGAGAAGACCCUAUAGAGUUUUAUAUUUAAAUAUUUAUAUAAAAAAUUAAAGAAUUAUUAUUUUUUAUAGAUAUUUAAGUAUUUAAUUGGGGCGAUUAAAAAAUUAAAAUAACUUUUUUUAAAAAUUAAACAUUGAUAUAUGAAUAAUUGAUCCAUAUUUAAUGAUUAUAAGAUU